This 373-nucleotide transfer-messenger RNA is filed under the name bacterium. RNAcentral's name for it is "GCA-020344395 sp020344395 Standard tmRNA". It matches the Rfam family "transfer-messenger RNA". Rfam says of the family: Bacterial tmRNA, also known as 10Sa RNA or SsrA, is named for its dual tRNA and mRNA-like properties. Its role is to liberate the mRNA from a stalled ribosome. To accomplish this part of the tmRNA is used as a reading frame that ends in a translation stop signal. The record is from RNAcentral. RNAcentral also lists the same sequence under 1 other name.
GGGGGUGACCAGGUUUCGACGGGUAUGGUGAGGGGUUGUUGGCGUGCCGGGGAUGUCUGGAGCCCCGUUAACAAACCGGGCAAACCACCAAAUGGCGAAUUCAAUUUUGCCAUGGCUGCCUAAUUAAGGCUUAGCCCGUCGCACCUGAACCACAGUCUCCGGGGUCGGGCUGCGGCGACGGAAAAGGAGACUCGGUUCUUCGAUGUCUAUAAGGAGAGCCUAAAUAUAUAGACUGGCCCUGCCGGUCAAACCGGCUUGCCGGUGGCCUGUCGUUCGGCGGCUGUCAGGGCGAGAAAUUGUAGAACGACUACGCACGUAGAUGGCGACUUGACAUCAUAUUCGGACGGGGGUUCGAUUCCCCCCACCUCCACCA